AACGAACGCUGGCGGCAUGCCUAACACAUGCAAGUCGAACGAGACCUUCGGGACUAGUGGCGCACGGGUGCGUAACGCGUGGGAACCUGCCCUUAGGUUCGGAAUAACUCCCCGAAAGGGGUGCUAAUACCGGAUAAUGUCUUCGGACCAAAGAUUUAUCGCAUUUGGAUGGGCCAGCGUUGGAUUAGCUAGUUGGUAGGGUAAAAGCCUACCAAGGCAACGAUCCAUAGAUGGUCUGAGAGGGUGAUCAGCCACACUGGAACUGAGACACGGCCCAGACUCCGACGGGAGGCAGCAGUAGGGAAUCUGCCGCAAGGGGCGAAAGCCUGACGGAGCAACGCCGCGUGAGUGAUGAAGGUCUUCGGAUCGUAAAACUCUGUUAUUAGGGAAGAACAUAUGUGUAAGUAACUGUGCACAUCUUGACGGUACCUAAUCAGAAAGCCACGGCUAACUACGUG
RNAcentral lists this ribosomal RNA (458 nucleotides) under uncultured bacterium. RNAcentral describes it as "partial 16S ribosomal RNA". It matches the Rfam family "Bacterial small subunit ribosomal RNA", at positions 29 to 507 of the family's 1533-position model. The record is from RNAcentral.